GUGUCAGCAGCCGCGGUAAAACGUAGGAAGCGAGCGUUAUCCGGAUUUACUGGGCGUAAAGCGCGUGUAGGCGGUCGGGUAAGUUGGAUGUGAAAGCUCCUGGCUUAACUGGGAGAGGUCGUUCAAUACUACUUGACUUGAGGAUGGGAGAGGGAGGCGGAAUUCCGGGUGUAGUGGUGAAAUGCGUAGAUAUCCGGAGGAACACCAGUGGCGAAAGCGGCCUCCUGGCCCAUAACUGACGCUCAGACGCGAAAGCUAGGGGAGCGAACGGGAUUAGAAACCCCAGUAGUCC
This 292-nucleotide ribosomal RNA is filed under the name uncultured bacterium. RNAcentral's name for it is "partial 16S ribosomal RNA". It matches the Rfam family "Bacterial small subunit ribosomal RNA", at positions 505 to 796 of the family's 1533-position model. The record is from RNAcentral.